RNAcentral lists this long non-coding RNA (230 nucleotides) under Manihot esculenta (cassava). RNAcentral's name for it is "long non-coding RNA (MESC_LNC008097)". The record is from RNAcentral. Lineage: Eukaryota; Viridiplantae; Streptophyta; Magnoliopsida; Malpighiales; Euphorbiaceae.
GCGCAUAGGAUGAGUACGCAUAACUGUACCGAAAGUAGCAGACGAAGACUCUAAUAGAGGAGGAGGUUGGAUGGACGAUUCUGGUAUAGGAGGAAGCAACGAUUCAGAAGACACGAUUGGAAGCGCAGACCGGGUUUCGACUGGAAUUGUGGACCGAUUGUCAAUAGACGACUCAAGGGAAGAAGACACAACAGCAGAAUUUGAAGGACUUAUACUUGAACGAGAUGGAU